CCUACGGGGGGCAGCAGUGGGGAAUAUUGCACAAUGGGGGAAACCCUGAUGCAGCGACGCCGCGUGAGCGAAGAAGUAUUUCGGUAUGUAAAGUUCUAUCAGCAGGGAAGAAAAUGACGGUACCUGAGUAAGAAGCUCCGGCUAAAUACGUGCCAGCAGCCGCGGUAAUACGUAUGGGGCAAGCGUUAUCCGGAUUUACUGGGCGUAAAGGGAGCGUAGGCGGGCUGCCAAGUCUGAUGUGAAAUACCGGGGCUCAACCACGGGGCUGCAUUGGAAACUGGCAGGCUGGAGUGCCGGAGAGGCAGGCGGAAUUCCUGGUGUAGCGGUAAAAUGCGUAGAGAUUAAGAGGAACACUAGUGGCGAAGGCGACCUGCUAGACGGUGACUGACGCUGAGGCGCGAAAGCGUGGGGAGCAAACAGGAUUAGAUACCCCUGUAGUC
This 440-nucleotide ribosomal RNA is filed under the name uncultured bacterium. RNAcentral's name for it is "partial 16S ribosomal RNA". It matches the Rfam family "Bacterial small subunit ribosomal RNA", at positions 338 to 795 of the family's 1533-position model. The record is from RNAcentral.